This 1785-nucleotide long non-coding RNA is filed under the name Olea europaea subsp. europaea. The record is from RNAcentral. Lineage: Eukaryota; Viridiplantae; Streptophyta; Magnoliopsida; Lamiales; Oleaceae.
UCCCGCUACUCAAACAGGUUAGAAUACAGGUUCAAAAACAGGCUGACCUGGCAUUUGAAAAUAAAAUAAAGAAAGUUGCAGGGAAAGGAACAUUACCCACUCUCCCCCAGCCUUCUCUCUCCAAAGUUGCUUUAUUCUCUCUCUUCAAAACCCACAGAAAUCCACAAAUCCAACUGUACAUAUUCGGUGGUGUCGUCGCAUUGAACUUUCGCAAACGGUGUCGACGACGUAGGAUCGACGAGCUCCGAUCGCCAUUUGAAAACGACGUUUUAAAAACAAUAACAAGCUCCAGUUAUUAAUAUUUCUUCAUGAUUUGCAGUUCAUAAAAUCGGCCUGUUAUAUAUAUUUUAAUCACGAUAUAUAAACCUCAACUUCUUCUUGGGUCAUCCCUUCCUUCCAUGAAAUUGCAAUUUUCAUAAGGUCGUUAUAAAAUCGAUCUGUUUGUGAGUUCGUGAAACUGCAAUUUUUUUCAAAAGAAACGUGUUUUUGACAAACUGCAAAAAAAAAAAAAAAAAAUUGAACCCAAUUGGCCUGUUAUUAAUAUAGCUUCAUUCCAACGAUUUCUUGUUCCACACUGCACAUUCCCAGAAUUUCAUGUGCAUUUUUGGGUUAUUUUGUGUUGUGGUUUUCCCUUCAACUUCAAAUUAAAGGUAUCUUUUCUCAUUUCUUACAAUAAAUGUGCAAUUCUUGGGGGAAUUUAGAUGAACAAUCUGAAAAAAAGAUUUCACUUUGGGCAAUGGGAUAUUAAGAGAUCUGAUAUUUAGAGUUUGAGGUUCUUGAGGCAAUCUUGAUAUCUCUAAAGUUUCAACAAUUUAAAUGUAUCACAUUUUCUGGGUUUUAGGCAUUUGGUGUAAUUAUAUGCAAGUUCCAGUAUUGAAAAACAAAAUAUUUUUUAUUUGAUUCACUAUAUUUGUUAUUGACUGCUAUGAGUCCUGGUAUCUGAAUGAAACAAUCUACUCAGUUGAGUUGUUUAAAGCUUAUAGGAUUUUCUGUUUUCAUGAGUUCUGGUCUUAAUUGUGGGCAUCUUUUCUAUAUUGGCUCCCUUGCUGCCUUUGUGCUUGGUUUUAGUAUUGGCAUUAAAUCUAAUUUGUGUAUCGUAUGUUUUAGGAGAAAGAUAACGAUAAUAAAGGAAAAUUAUUCCUUUGUUGUGGUCGGAAUUGUGAAUUUUGGGAGUGGCUUGUAAAAGAAAAAUCAAGAGCUGAAUGUAGUCGUGGCAACACUACCGCCCCUACCACUGUGAUGGACAACAUAGAUGAAGAAAUGUCGCGCGUGUUUCAAUCUAGAGUUAGGAUAAGUGACGAAGAAGAAUUACAGAUUUUGGUGAAUGUGAAUGUGAGCAUCCGGACGGAAAGAAGAACCACGGAAGUGAAUGCAAAAAGGAAGCGGCCUACUUGACAUGUUGCAUCAUGGAAACAUUUUAGAUGCUUCGGUUUCGUGUAGACAAGAACUAAUUACCAGUUUCAGUUUUGAUCUUGUAAGCAAACUGGUAUUGUUUUAUGUUCCAAACUUGCAAUCGUUGUGGAUAAUCUAUAUUUGCAUUAUGCCCCUGUAUAUUAAUCUAUAUUUUUGCAUUAUGCCCUUAUGUAUUACCGAAACCCAUGGUUCGCUUGGAAUGAAAAUGAAUUUAGGAAUUAGAAUUUUACUAAUGCCUCACAAUUCUAUCGAAUUAGAAUUUCGAAAACUUGUAUUGAAGUACAAAUGUAUUCUUUUUCAAUGGUAUUUCGUAAAUUUCGGUCUCUAAAUGUGACAAAAGUAAUAUGUUCACAACUGGUUGGUGGAGAUAGA